UACGUAGGGUGCAAGCGUUAAUCGGAAUUACUGGGCGUAAAGCGUGCGCAGGCGGUUAUGCAAGACAGAUGUGAAAUCCCCGGGCUCAACCUGGGAACUGCAUUUGUGACUGCAUCGCUGGAGUGCGGCAGAGGGGGAUGGAAUUCCGCGUGUAGCAGUGAAAUGCGUAGAUAUGCGGAGGAACACCGAUGGCGAAGGCAAUCCCCUGGGCCUGCACUGACGCUCAUGCACGAAAGCGUGGGGAGCAAACAGG
This 253-nucleotide ribosomal RNA is filed under the name uncultured bacterium. Its description in RNAcentral is "partial 16S ribosomal RNA". It matches the Rfam family "Bacterial small subunit ribosomal RNA", at positions 524 to 776 of the family's 1533-position model. The record is from RNAcentral.